CACAGACAUACAGGCAAAAUACCCACAUA
RNAcentral lists this non-coding RNA (29 nucleotides) under Mus musculus (house mouse). Lineage: Eukaryota; Metazoa; Chordata; Mammalia; Rodentia; Muridae. The record is from RNAcentral.